Molecule: ribosomal RNA, 576 nt
Filed under: uncultured bacterium
Lineage: Bacteria
Description: bacterial SSU rRNA
Rfam family: Bacterial small subunit ribosomal RNA
Source: RNAcentral
CCUACGGGAGGCAGCAGUAAGGAAUAUUGGUCAAUGGACGAAAGUCUGAACCGGCCAUGCCGCGUGAAGGAUUAAGGCCCUCUGGGUUGUAAACUUCUUUUAUCUGGGACGAAAAAAGGGUAUUCUUACUCACUUGACGGUACCAGAGGAAUAAGCACCGGCUAACUCCGUGCCAGCAGCCGCGGUAAUACGGAGGGUGCAAGCGUUAUCCGGAUUUACUGGGUUUAAAGGGUGCGUAGGUGGGUUUGUAAGUCAGUGGUGAAAUCUCCGAGCUUAACUCGGAAACUGCCAUUGAUACUAUAGAUCUUGAAUUAUCUGGAGGUAAGCGGAAUAUGUCAUGUAGCGGUGAAAUGCUUAGAUAUGACAUAGAACACCAAUUGCGAAGGCAGCUUACUACGGAUAUAUUGACACUGAGGCACGAAAGCGUGGGGAUCAAACAGGAUUAGAUACCCUGGUAGUCCACGCCCUAAACGAUGGAUACUCGACAUCAGCGAUACACUGUUGGUGUCUGAGCGAAAGCAUUAAGUAUCCACCUGGGAAGUACGAUCGCAAGAUUGAAACUCAAAGGAAUUGAGG